GCCUCACAAAGCCGCUGGCCAAAGCCUCACAAUCUAAGCCUGCACAAGGCCACAGGUGGAUUUAGGGGCUGGCUGAUGAGGCUUCUGAUUAAUGGAUGGUGCAAGUCCAGGUUUCUCCCUCUACAAGGACAGGGGGCAGAAGAAACUGCAGGUGAACGGAGAGAGAAACCAAUAGUUGCCAACUGAACAAGAAGAAACAGUAGGUUGUCCAUUUCAUUUCCCUACUUUAAACUUUGCAACAGAGCACAUAGAGAGACCCAGCAAUAUAAAUACUUGCCCCUGUGCACAGUUCACCCAUUCAGAUAAUAGGCAUUUUAUUAGUCAUCUAGAAUGCUGCACAAUAUAGUAAAAUCUAGAACUCACCACUUUUAAGCACACACAGAUCCCAGAGACUCAAGUUAUUUGUUGUGCAUAGUUUAUUUAAAAGCUUUCAUUCUGGUAUAAAUUAUCUAUGAAUAGGUUAUGAUCCUCAUCAAAUUUAUCUGCUACUCAAUUUUUUUUUCUUGAGAGAAGCAUUUAACUUGAGGGUCAUUCACUAGCUUGCCACUAUCAACAUUCAUUAUAUGAAUCUAUAUAAAUUCUGAAAUCAUAUGGGGCAGUUUCUGUAUUCUUAUUGGAUUAUUUUUUCCUCUUCACAAACUAUCUGACAAAAAGAACACACAUAUAAAUCAAGCUUAAUAUAUGCAUGUGCAAGGUUUUGAGGAACAUUUAUGCUGAAAAUGAGCUUCUAAAUGUGUUUUCAUCCCUUCAGGUAAAAAUAAAAAAUGCACAAAUAUAUGUUUAUUAAUUAAAAAAUUAAUAUAAUUAUGUAAAAAAUAUUUAAAAUUAGAUUAACAGCAUCUAGCAUGCUCUUUGUAUAUUGGCCUUCCUUACAAGGUUCUCAUGAAUCGCUGAGAAUCUAUAAUUUAUUCACACUGAACACCUGAAAUUCAUUAUAUAAAUUCUAAAUAUUAAGAUAACUUUUUGUGCUAUAAGCUAAAAUAAUAAUUUCCAACAACUGUUAUUUUUCCUGUACAUGUCAACAUUUCUGUUUUUUAUAUGGAAACUAGGUAUGAUUUUAAUGCUUAAUUCUUUUAUUAAACUUUUGACGCUGCAGUUGUCUUUUGAAAACUGAAGAGCAAAAACAAAUAAUCCAUUCUUAAUUUACCCUGGUUGAAACAAAAAUUUCAGCUUCAUAAUGGCAAAUAAUAAUUUCAAUCUGAUUGUGACUGCCUUAGGUGUCUGGAAAGGUAAACAAGCAAUAAAAUUAAAAAACACAAUUAGGAAGUCAUUUCAGCUGAAGAAAAAAUUAAAACAAAAAUUAUUGUGUUUAAAUACACCAUGUACAUUUAGUUGUUAAAUUAGGCAUGACUUUAACACUCAUAAGAAUAAAAAUCUGCAUUAACUUGGACAAAGAGGAGAGAGCUCAGCUGCAGACCCUCCAAGUGUCCCUAUUUUCCAGGGAUGUCCCUGAUUUAGAGAAGCCACCCCGAUUUCUGAUUUGAUCCCAGAAUGUCCUGCUUUUCCUUAGGACAUCCCUAUUUUCAUUGGAGAAAUGUUGGAGGGUAUGGUAGGAUGUCCUUAUUUUCAUUGGAAAAAUGUUGGAGGGUAUGGAGUUAUUCGACUCCUGAGCUGUCUGAAGGCAAUCCUGUAUAGGGAAGAUUUUUUUAAGGUUUAAUGUUUUAUAUAUGUUGGAAGCUGCCCAGAGUGGCUGGGGCAACCCAGUAAGACGUGUGGGGUGUAAAUAGUAAAACUAUUAUUAUGGAAUGGGAUGUCCCUAUUUUCAUUGGAGAAAUGUUGGAGGGUAUGCAGUUGAUUAGAGCGUGGUGCUGAUAACAUGGUCACAGGUUCGAUCCCCAUGUGGGACAGUUGCAUUGGACUAGAUCAGGGGUCAGCAACCUUUUUCAGCUGUGAGCCAGUCCACCGUCCCUCAGACCAUGUGGUGGGCCAGGCUACAUUUUUUUGGGAGGAGGGGGAAUGAACAAACUCCUAUGCCCCACAAAUAACCCAGAGAUGCAUUUUAAAUAAAAGCACACAUUCUGCUCAUGUAAAAACACCAGACAGGCCCCACAAAUAACCCAGAGAUACAUUUUAAAUAAAAGGACACAUUCUACUCAUGUAAAAACACGCUGAUUCCCGCAAGCUGGAUUGAGAAGGCGAUUGGGCCGCAUCCUGUCCUUAGGUUACCUACCCAUGGACUAGAUGGUCCUCAGGGUUACUUCCAGCUCUACAAUUCUAUGCUGCUAUUAAAUAUAUCUGUACAUUCUUAUGUACAGAUAAGCCAUUCAUACAAUGUACCGGUACCUUCAUCACUCUUUCAAAUACAUACCAUACUACAUACAGUCAUACCUCGGGUUAAAUAUGCUUUAGGCUGAGCGUUUUCAGGUUGCGUUCCAUGGCGACCCGGAAGUAACGGAACAGGUUACUUCCGGGUUUCGCCGCUCGCGCACGUGCAGAUGCUCAAAAUGACAUCACGCGCAUGCACAGUAGCAGCGAAUCGCGACCCGCGCACACGCAGACACGGGUUGCAUUCUGCUCAGGAUGCGAACGGGCUCCGGACUGGAUCCCGUUCGCAUCCAGAGGUACCACUGUAUAUCACAAAUGCUCAAACAGUUUUUGCUUACUAGGGAUAGUCCCGGUUGUUUGUCCAUUGGUUUUUAAGUGUUGCAUUCUUGGCUUAGCUGCCGUGCUGGGCUGCUCAGCAGACAGCGCAGGCAGGGAGGCAGGGAGGGAGGCAAAUGAACAAGGCCCUAGAAGGGGGUAGUUAGGGAGAUGUGGACCAGAUGGAGGGGGGCCAUGAAAGAAAAGUUUGAAGAGUGGCCAAACAGAAUUAGGAAAACAAUCCAGAGAAGACAGGUGAAGCAAAUCCAAGUAAGAGAGAAUGAGCAGAAAGGAAAGGUACAGAUGGCAAGGAGAUGGAAGGAAAAGUAAAGUUCGUAUCUUGUUCUGAAAUAGCCAGUAUUCUGCUAGGCUCUAGUCUAUUCUCAUCUCAAGCCUUUGAUUGUUUAUCACUGCAGAUGAAAAGGUCACCAACACAUAAUUGUCUUCCAAGUCCCAUGGCUAGAAAUAGCAAAGCAAAUGUCAGAGUUCUAGUCCUGCCUCCUAGUGCUCCCUGACACCAAAGGCAAGGUGCCAUUAACUUCAAGGAAGCCUGAAACAGGCCACAGUCAACUUAGACCAACAUAAGACAAACUUCUAAAUAGAAAUACAGAGCCAAAGUUCUGAGCCUUUCAUGUUAGCUGCAUCAGCAUAUCACUGAUAUAAUCACCUUAAACUGUUACCAGAGAUUGCACUCAGACUAAGCUACAUCACAAACUGCUUUGCAUUACCACCCAGUGACAUUGGAAGGUGCACUUAAAAAUAAUACUUCCUAAAGCUUUUCAUAAUUCCCUUAAAGAUGAAUAUGGUUGUGAGCAAUAUAUUUCACUUUAUGCUGAAGACAUAUUGCUGCUUUUAUUAUUUUUUUUAGCAUUCCUUACCUGAUAUGACUGCUCUGUCUUACAACUGCAGCUAAACCUCCUGCUGCAAAAUUAAUUUGAUUAAAUCCAAUGCUUGACCUUGUCAGCUAGUGACCUUAGACAGCACUUUGCAAACUACUACUUUCUAGAGUCUGCUAAAUGUUUCACCUGUGUUGGAAUACUUCUGUCUCCCAUGAUGCUUUCUGCCCAAUAAUAGGAACAAUUUCUUCAAAAAAUUAUUUAUUAGAAAAAUGAGCUUGCAUCCUAUAAGAUUGAGAGUUUUCUGGUUUACAAUAAAUGCCUGUAUAUCAUGUAGCCUUUAUCCAUUACAACUAUGGUUGUAAAUAUACUUGAAGUUGAUACUUUUAAGGUUUCUUCAAAUUAACAGAAUUUAAUUUUUAGUGACCUAUUCACACUAUGUAUAUAUCUAUAUUGUUUAUAUACGUUUAACUUUCAUGGCUUCCAGGUAACUGAGUUUGCAAAAGAUGUUGAGAAUUACUUAUUGAAAAUCACUAGCCCCCUACCCCUUCACAGAUCUUCAGUUCCUAUUGUUCCCUCUGGCAAGAGGAUGACUGCUAAACUGGUUGAAGUCUGUUGUGUAAUUAUGCUCUAAUAGGACAGUUUACAAAUGAGAUAAGCACUACUUAGUUCCAUUGUUAUCACCAGUAAGCGCUGAAGUAAUUGGCCUCCAAGUAACAAUUCUCCCCGUGAGCCUCCAAUUCUGAUUUGAAGAGCAAACAUAAACCAUAGUUUGUUGGUUUGGAUGUCAUGGCCAACUAUGGUUAGCACUGAUGGGCAAAUCAUUAAAAUUCCAGUUCAUGUCACUUUCAGAUGUGUUCCUUUUGAAGUCUGUUCUGCCCUUCUCCUGCAUUACUUCAUGGACUUUCAAAAAACCCCAAAGAAUUCUGAGAAUUCUUACAACUACCCCAAAAGGUAGUUGAAGUUACGAGGUGACCCAAAGACUGCUUUAAUUUAUUUUAUUUUAUUUCCUUUUUAACAGGUAAGAGCAGCUGCCGUGUGCACUGAAAGUAGAACUGCAAGCAUUUCUUGGAACAAUGUGAUGAUGUACCCUCCCUCCCAAGGAGAUUUUAUGGUGGGGUUUGUGUGUGUGGAGAGAAGGCUGCAGCUAAUAAAAUCAGUCAAAUUACAGCAUUAGUUGGGAUUCAGAGAAGUUGUUCAACACUGGAGAUGAUUUCCUUCCAGAUUACUCAACCUCCACAAAUGUCAGAACUCUGAUGUUUGCUGCUUAGAGCUAUGCUGUGCCUAUGUAUGGGUUGGGGACCUGAUUAGAAAAACUGAUUAAUGAAUCAAAAUGAAUCAAGAAACGUG
Molecule: long non-coding RNA, 4766 nt
Filed under: Podarcis lilfordi (Lilford's wall lizard)
Lineage: Eukaryota; Metazoa; Chordata; Lepidosauria; Squamata; Lacertidae
Source: RNAcentral